This 625-nucleotide long non-coding RNA is filed under the name Bos taurus (domestic cattle). RNAcentral's name for it is "long non-coding RNA NONBTAT004153". The record is from RNAcentral. Lineage: Eukaryota; Metazoa; Chordata; Mammalia; Artiodactyla; Bovidae.
UUGUCAGUUUUAUUGAGCUGUUAUUAAUAUCUGCUGUUCAACCAGUUUCCUUACUUCCCUACUUCCAUUAAAGGAGACAACCAAGUAUAAAGAGCAGAUACAAGUGACUAAUGGAGAUGUAAGAAGAGCUCAGAGUGGUCAAAGCAGGAUCUUACAUGUUAGAUACUUAAGAGGAAAUGCAUCUUAUAAUGUCCUGCUCAUUGCAGCUGGUUCACAUGGAAAUGAUGAGUUCUGUGAAGUACAACUGAACCCACCCAUGAGCUCUCUAAUGUCUACUGGCAAAUUAGAAACUACAAAAUAGUCUGUAGUGAGGUCUUCAGAUACUGAGGUCUGGAAAAUUAAUUAGAAAACUACCUCUUUCUGAAUAAUUCAGAUCAGCAAUAUUCUGAGGGUAAUUUACUGGUACAAUUAAUUUACAAAUAAGAAAACAGAUAGAUGCCACUGCCAAUGUUUAUGUGAUGUUAUGAGCUUGCAAUUAAAUAAUUACAUCUAAGUAGAUGCUGUAUAAUAUAAAAAAAGGCAUAGAGGGUAUUUAUUAUCAACAUACAUCCAUGACCUCUGUUUUAUCAAAUGCUACAGCUUAUAGAGCUGGAAGUUACUCAAAAUUAAUGGACUUCCAUUAUGA